GAAUUUCCCGCGCGGAGCGGAAUCUCUCUUUGUCUUUUCUAAUUAGUUCCACCCGAGAAGUCACAAGACAAAGAAAAAUUCCGCUCCGCGCGGAAAAGUUUAAAUCUU
Non-coding RNA from Paramuricea clavata, 108 nucleotides. The record is from the annotation of a GenBank genome assembly. NCBI's taxonomy places the organism in Eukaryota, Metazoa, Cnidaria, Anthozoa, Malacalcyonacea, Plexauridae.